Small RNA from Shimia marina, 72 nucleotides. It matches the Rfam family "Singlet oxygen resistance RNA X". Rfam says of the family: SorX (RSs2461)like SorY is a singlet oxygen induced sRNA that counteracts oxidative stress by targeting mRNA for a transporter in Rhodobacter. It also has an impact on resistance against organic hydroperoxides. The record is from Rfam. NCBI's taxonomy places the organism in Bacteria, Pseudomonadati, Pseudomonadota, Alphaproteobacteria, Rhodobacterales, Roseobacteraceae.
UUCCCGUGCAUGUCCGGGUUAUGACAUGAACCUCCCUGUUGGACUGGCCCGGGCUUCGGCUCGGGCCUUUUU